This 332-nucleotide unclassified non-coding RNA is filed under the name soil metagenome. Its description in RNAcentral is "partial contains 5.8S ribosomal RNA, internal transcribed spacer 2, and large subunit ribosomal RNA". The stretch from base 1 to 120 matches the Rfam family "5.8S ribosomal RNA", at positions 35 to 154 of the family's 154-position model. The record is from RNAcentral.
GAUGAAGAACGCAGCGAAAUGCGAUAAGUAGUGUGAAUUGCAGAAUUCAGUGAAUCAUCGAAUCUUUGAACGCACAUUGCGCCCUUUGGUAUUCCUUAGGGCAUGCCUGUUCGUGCGUCAUUUAAACCUUCAAGCUAAGCUUGGUGUUGGGUGACUGUCCGCUUCACUGCGGACUCGCCUCAAAAUUAUUGGCGGCCGGUACAUUGGCUUCGAGCGCAGCAGAAACGCGAACUCGGGCCCGUCGUAUUGGCUCCCAGAAGCUAUCUUCACAAUUUUGACCUCGGAUCAGGUAGGGAUACCCGCUGAACUUAAGCAUAUCAAUAAGCGGAGGA